CUGCUGCCUCCCGUAGGAGUCUGGUCCGUGUCUCAGUACCAGUGUGGGGGACCUUCCUCUCAGAACCCCUACGCAUCGUCGGUUAGGUGGGCCGUUACCCCGCCUACUGCCUAAUGCGCCGCAUGCCCAUCCCUGUCCGGCCGAAGCCUUUCCUGCCUCCGGGGAUGCCCCGGUGGCAUGUACGCGGGUUUAGCCCGCCUUUCGGCGGGUUGUCCCCCUGACAGGGGCAGGUUGCAUACGUGUUACUCACCCGGUGCGCCGGUCGCCGGCGGAGAAA
RNAcentral lists this ribosomal RNA (277 nucleotides) under uncultured bacterium. RNAcentral describes it as "partial 16S ribosomal RNA". The record is from RNAcentral.